This is a ribosomal RNA of Nomascus leucogenys (northern white-cheeked gibbon), 119 nucleotides long. NCBI's taxonomy places the organism in Eukaryota, Metazoa, Chordata, Mammalia, Primates, Hylobatidae. The record is from Ensembl.
GUCUACAGCCAUAACACCCUGAACACACCUGAUCUUGUCUGAUCUCACAAGCUAAGCAGGGAUUGGCCUGGUUAGUACUUAGAUGAGAGACUGCCUGGGAAUACUGGGUGUUGUAGGAU